GACGAACGCUGGCGGCGUGCUUAACACAUGCAAGUCGAACGGAAAGGCCCUGCUUUUGUGGGGUGCUCGAGUGGCGAACGGGUGAGUAACACGUGAGUAACCUGCCCUUGACUUUGGGAUAACUUCAGGAAACUGGGGCUAAUACCGGAUAGGAGCUCCUGCUGCAUGGUGGGGGUUGGAAAGUUUCGGCGGUUGGGGAUGGACUCGCGGCUUAUCAGCUUGUUGGUGGGGUAGUGGCUUACCAAGGCUUUGACGGGUAGCCGGCCUGAGAGGGUGACCGGCCAAUUUGGGAUGGAGAUCCGGCCCGGCCUCCUACGGGGGGCAGCGGGGGGGAAUAUUGCACAAUGGGCGGAGGCCUGAUGCAGCACCGCGGCGUGCGGGAUACCGGCCUUCGGGUGGUAAACCGCUUUCGCCUGUAACAAGGCGUGAGUGACGGUAAUGGGUAAAGAAGCACCGGCUAACUACGUG
This 468-nucleotide ribosomal RNA is filed under the name uncultured bacterium. RNAcentral describes it as "partial 16S ribosomal RNA". It matches the Rfam family "Bacterial small subunit ribosomal RNA", at positions 28 to 507 of the family's 1533-position model. The record is from RNAcentral.